AAUCGACGACAUCAGCUGCUCCAUAAGUUCCCACACGAAUUGCUUGAUUCAUUGAAGAAGACGAUAAGAAGCAGCCCGAAAUUGGGUCUGUAGCUCAGUUGGUUAGAGCGCACCCCUGAUAAGGGUGAGGUCGGCAGUUCGAAUCUGCCCAGACCCACCAAUUUUGUGUGGGAAACGCCUGUAGAAAUACGGGGCCAUAGCUCAGCUGGGAGAGCGCCUGCCUUGCACGCAGGAGGUCAACGGUUCGAUCCCGUUUGGCUCCACCACUACUGCUUCUGAAAGUUUUGAAAGCUUAGAAAUGAGCAUUCCACCAAAACGGUGAUGAAUGUUGAUUUCUAGUCUUUGAUUAGAUCGUUCUUUAAAAAUUUGGGUAUGUGAUAGAAAGAUAGACUGAACGUUACUUUCACUGGUAACGGAUCAGGCUAAGGUAAAAUUUGUGAGUUACUCGUAAUUGAGUAUUAUCGAAUUUUCGGCGAAUGUCGUCUUCACAGUAUAACCAGAUUGCUUGGGGUUAUAU
This 517-nucleotide transfer RNA is filed under the name Pseudomonas sp. DFS010. RNAcentral's name for it is "partial 16S-23S ribosomal RNA intergenic spacer". The stretch from base 84 to 157 matches the Rfam family "tRNA". Lineage: Bacteria; Pseudomonadati; Pseudomonadota; Gammaproteobacteria; Pseudomonadales; Pseudomonadaceae. The record is from RNAcentral.